UUCAAUUAAGUUUUGCUUCCUUUAAAAAGUGACAGAACGCUGUUUAUCAUGAGCAAUAAUCUGUCUCAUGUGACGGGUCUUUAUUCCCACAUACUCUGAAGUAAGAGAAUAAUGAACAAAAUCAGCCAGUUUGAGCUGGCAAGGGGACGGACCUCACAUCUGCACGGCUGUUGGAAUGGUCUCUCAAGGAUGCACAAUGUCACAGGAGCUAGAGAAACCCCAGCUGGAGCGGAGAUGGUUUCUCGGGGGGGUUACAGGGUGCUACUGGCUUUACCUGGAGGACUCUGCAUACCAUAUGGCCCCAUGUUUGGAUUCUUGAUCUGAAUCCCAGCCUCCACCAUUGUUUUCGAGGCCCCUCUCAGGACCCUGGGCUGAAGAACAGAUGGCACUUUGUUGCUGGAGCUGUCAGUCCGAAGGGCACCUUGAAAAGGCCUCACGCAAGCAAUGAGGGAUUCCAGUGGUCAUCGGAAAGGACGGUGCGAUCGGCAGAAGGUAGACGAUAAAUAUCCGAGUCAACAUGGAGACAUCCCUGCCAACGUCAGCCAGAAGUCAUCGGAUGACAACGAGAACCUAGUCAGAGCAAGAACGGGCCGAGUCUGCAGCUGUCACUGUAGUCUCGCUCGUGAGUUUUACCCUGGUAAGCUGCGGGGGAAAAUAACAUGCCACAGUGAUCGCUGACAGAAAGGGGGAGGCCUUGAUGUCCAGUUCUGUGUGGACGCCUACAACGCUGCUGCUGACAGAUAAUAUUACAAGGCUUAAGUCUUCUUGAGACUGCAGUCCAGAGGUCAGCCAAGUCGGCGAGCCGAUUUUGACACCAUGCCACAAACUUAACGGGAGUCAUCGUGCCAUUUCAGCGAAAUCAGCAGCUGGCGACAUCCUGACCCUGCCACGGGACGCGACGUCAUCGCGCUCUCGUAGGUGCCAGAGAAGGUCAGGUCCCUUUUAUGGAGACCACUCCGCCCCAAUACCUUGACGACGAGUUGUCUUGACGGCAGGCUUACAUGAUUUUUGCGACGUAUGACUUUCUUGAAUUGCUAUUUUGAGAAAUGAAAACUAAAUGAAACAAAAUGGUAACACUUUACUCGACAGGGCACAAAUAGCACAGUACAGGAACUCCUCUACUUACUAACUUUCAACUUACGAACUUUCCGACAUACGAACGAAAUUGUGUUCAUUGGGCUCCUGUUUCCUGUCCGCAACAUCAAAUUUUGUUCUGCGCGCCAAUUCCGCCUAGUACGAAUUCUGGCCGCUGCUCCCGCCGCGCAGCAUCUUAGCGUGCGUACUCCCAGCAGCCCAGUUCUUUAUACUUGCAUAUCGGUAAGACGUGCUCUCUUAAGAUCAAAGGUUACUUCGUUUUUAUUGCGAAAUAUUCUAUGCAUCCAUUAUCCAUCAUGUCCAUUUUCUAGGACUAAGGCUGGACAAAGUGCUGCAGAUGAAACGUUUACUGCACACCCUCCUCCUCCUCCUGUCAUCCAUCACCUCAAGCCUAUUUCACCAGUUCCAAGUGCUCCGAUUUGAAGUCUGCCCAUACAUCUUGCUUGACUAGCUGUCAAAAGGUUCAUUAAGGCUAUAUUUGGAGCAGCACAUGAGGGAGAGAGUCCACUUCAGACAGAACAAGGAUAAGCCCAUCAAUCUACUGACCUGCAGCAGCAGUUUGUCUUUGGGCUAUCUGUUAGCAGUGUUGAGGACACCCUGGUAUCGGAUACUGCCACAUACUUACGUAGCUGCAAAUGUAUAAUUUAUUUGUUCAGAAAUGAGAACACAGAAAGUCUUGAAAUGUUUGUGUUGAGGAGUACAUCAGCGUAAAUCAUAGGCCGGCAUGAUUGAAUUAUUGCUGCUCUAAGGCCUUUUAAAUCAUACUGCUGGACAAAUUUACCCAGAGCUUCAGUCCAUUUCAAGCCACUAUGGGUCAUGUGACAAUGUCUUGGCAAUUCUGGUUGAUUUUGAUUACUCUAAGGUACAUGUUUUCUUCAUUAGAGUCCAUCAGCCGCUGAUGACAUAUUAUUACAUUCUGAGAACAAGGCCUGGACUCUAUAAAGCUCUCAUAAGAGCACAGAUAAACCCAAUUAGAUAAAUCUCUCUCUCUCUCUCUCUCUAUACCUUCUUUAUCCCCAGCACCUGUGGAAGGAACAAAAAUUUCACCGUUUUCCUUAACAUAUGACAA
Long non-coding RNA from Paramormyrops kingsleyae, 2164 nucleotides. RefSeq lists it as uncharacterized. NCBI's taxonomy places the organism in Eukaryota, Metazoa, Chordata, Actinopteri, Osteoglossiformes, Mormyridae. The record is from RefSeq and is a predicted model, not a curated record.